Molecule: long non-coding RNA, 740 nt
Organism: Corvus hawaiiensis (hawaiian crow)
Lineage: Eukaryota; Metazoa; Chordata; Aves; Passeriformes; Corvidae
Exons: 6
Source: RefSeq, a predicted model, not a curated record
ACUCUCAUUCCACCUAUAUGACUCUUUGAGUGAAUCUAAUAAAGUCCAAGUGAAGUGACUUUCAACCUCAAAGAGCAAAAAUCCUUUGUGCUUACCAAGCUGCUACAGUGGUCUGAUACCUGUCUGUGGAAGGGAGGUUGGAGAGUGGAGAAGGAAAUCCACACUGUUCUUCCGUGGAAUGCCUGGGAAUUUGGUGUGGUAUGGAGAUCUGAUACAGUAUUUCUCUGGAGAAAACCUUUACUUAAUGAGAAAUCUGAUUUUCAGCUUUGACCUGCAAGCAAGAUGUGUGGCCUUGGAGUUCUCCUAAACUGCAAUCAGGACUGGUGAUGAGAGUUUCAACCCCUUUCCUUCAGCCUCAUUCCUCUCUUUCUCUACAAGAAGUGCUAAAAUUGUGGAAGAGUCCUGGUUUUGUUCUGGCAAAGUCCAUCUCCUUCAUAGGAGGAGAUGUAAGAUGGAUGCAGAGCAACUCAGAGGCCCAGAUGCCAAAUGAAGUAAAACUAUAGCUCGCUAGUGUUACGGGAUACAAACAUCCAAACCUACUCACAGCCGUGCAUUCCCACACCUGAGCUUUAAGGAGAGGAUAACACCAAUAUACUCCUUUUGAGGCUGAAUACAGAGGAACUGGGCAGCUCAUUUUUCCAUAAAUUAGCCUGAAAGCAGCUCUUCUACUUCCAGGCAAACAAGGACUGAUGGAAGCUACAGGAGUGAUGUUUGCUAUAAAAACACACUAGCAACCUGAG